CAGUCGCCGCGGUAAUACGUAGGUGGCAAGCGUUGUCCGGAAUUAUUGGGCGUAAAGGGCUCGCAGGCGGUUUCUUAAGUCUGAUGUGAAAGCCCCCGGCUCAACCGGGGAGGGCCAUUGGAAACUGGGAACCUUGAGUGCAGAAGAGGAGAGUGGAAUUCCACGUGUAGUGGUGAAAUGCGUAGAGAUGUGGAGGAACACCAGUGGCGAAGGCGACUCUCUGGUCUGUAACUGACGCUGAGGAGCGAAAGCGUGGGGAGCGAACAGGAUUAGAUACCCCCGUAGUCCCUGUCUCUUAUAC
RNAcentral lists this ribosomal RNA (301 nucleotides) under uncultured bacterium. RNAcentral describes it as "partial 16S ribosomal RNA". It matches the Rfam family "Bacterial small subunit ribosomal RNA", at positions 509 to 807 of the family's 1533-position model. The record is from RNAcentral.